GCGGAGGAAAAGAAACCAACAGGGAUUGCCCUAGUAACGGCGAGUGAAGCGGCAACAGCUCAAAUUUGAAAUCUGGCCUUCGGGUCCGAGUUGUAAUUUGUAGAGGAUGCUUUUGGUGAGGUGCCUUCCGAGUUCCUUGGAACAGGACGCCUUAGAGGGUGAGAGCCCCGUACGGUUGGACACCAAGCCUUUGUAAAGCUCCUUCGACGAGUCGAGUAGUUUGGGAAUGCUGCUCUAAAUGGGAGGUAAAUUUCUUCUAAAGCUAAAUACCGGCCAGAGACCGAUAGCGCACAAGUAGAGUGAUCGAAAGAUGAAAAGUACUUUGAAAAGAGGGUUAAAUAGCACGUGAAAUUGUUGAAAGGGAAGCGUUUAUGACCAGACCUUUGUCAGGCGGAUCAUCCGGUGUUCUUCACCGGUGCACUUCGCCUGGCUCAGGCCAGCAUCGAUUUCUGUAGAGGGAUAAAGACCAUGGGAACGUAGCUCUCUUCGGGGAGUGUUAUAGCCCUAGGUGUAAUACCUUUACGGGGAUCGAGGUUCGCGCUUCUGCAAGGAUGCUGGCGUAAUGGUCAUCAAUGACCCGUCUUGAAACACGGACCAAGGAGUCGAACAUUUAUGCAAGUGUUUGGGUGUUAAACCCUCACGCGUAAUGAAAGUGAACGGAGGUGAGAGCCUUGUAUUAGGUGCAUCAUCGACCGAUCCUGAUGUAUUCGGAAGGAUUUGAGUAAGAGCAUAACUGUUCGGACCCGAAAGAUGGUGAACUAUGCGUGGAUAGGGUGAAGCCAGAGGAAACUCUGGUGGAGGCUCGCAGCGGUUCUGACGUGCAAAUCGAUCGUCAAAUCUGCGCAUGGGGGCGAAAGACUUAUCGAACCAUCUAGUAGCUGGGUUACCGC
This 890-nucleotide ribosomal RNA is filed under the name Diatrype sp. RNAcentral describes it as "partial large subunit ribosomal RNA". It matches the Rfam family "Eukaryotic large subunit ribosomal RNA", at positions 50 to 961 of the family's 3401-position model. Lineage: Eukaryota; Fungi; Ascomycota; Sordariomycetes; Xylariales; Diatrypaceae. The record is from RNAcentral.